RNAcentral lists this ribosomal RNA (403 nucleotides) under uncultured bacterium. Its description in RNAcentral is "partial 16S ribosomal RNA". It matches the Rfam family "Bacterial small subunit ribosomal RNA", at positions 29 to 526 of the family's 1533-position model. The record is from RNAcentral.
AUUGAACGCUGGCGGCAGGCCUAACACAUGCAAGUCGGGCGAGCGGCGGACGGGCGAGUAAUGUAUGUGGACUGCCUGAUGGAGGGGGAUAACUACUGGAAAAGGUAGCUAAUACCGCAUACCAUCAUAUAACUCAUAUGGGAUUAGCUAGUAGGUGAGGUAACGGCUCACCUAGGCGACGAUCCCGAGCGGGUCUGCGAGGAUGAUCGGCCACAUUGGGACUGAGACAGGCCCCAGACGCCUACGGAGGCAGCAGGGGGGAAUGUUGCGCAAUGGGCGAAAGCCUGAUGAAGCCAGGCCGGGUGUGUGAAGAAGGCCUUGGGGUUGUAAAGUUCUUUCAGUAGGGAGGCGUUACCGAAAGAAAAAGCCCCGGCUAACUACGUGCCAGCAGCCGCGGUAAUAC